UUUUUGAGCUUUGCUGUGGAUGUGCCUCCUUCAGCCUUGCCUGUGUCUGGCCACAGACCUUCUUGCCUGAUGGUUUUCCUUCCAUGCUUCCACCUGUGGUGACACCACGUCCCUUGGAGCUGGGAUUUCACCUGCUGGCAUUGCUGGGGACCUGAGUUGGGAAAGGCGACGGAGCCCAGCUGAAGCUGGCACCGCAGCGUGGUCUCCCCUUGUGCUGGAGGAGAGGGGAGGGAGAUGCUGGCGGGCUCCUUGCCCAGGGACAAAACCCUUCUGGCUCCCCCAUCCUGGGGUGGAAGCGGAGCGUGAUGCCUGCCCUUGCUGCGGGAGGAGGAGGUGCUGGUGGUGUCCCCCCCUGCAUUUCUUUGUUCUUUUGUUGCGGGGACCUCCCUGAUCCCAGCAGGUGAGGAUGUCCCGUGGUGUCCCUGUGCCAUGGGGCCAUCACCCCUGCAUCCGACCCAGCUCCUUCGGAGAGCAGGGUAAGCACAGGAGCACGUCCCUCCCUGCUGCUCCCUGCGAUCCGAGGGCUGCUGCUGCUUAUCUGGCUCGAGGGCAAUGCUCCACAUGGCUUUCAGAAGCCUGUGACCCCCCCCCCCCCUCUUUCAAUCCCUUCACCGCCUCCUGCCUCCCCCUCGCCCCAACCCCUUCUCUUUUUCACCCCACCUUCCCCCAGGGGCAUCCAGCCAGUGCAAGCGGUCCCCUGGCAGCAAUGAUGAAGAUGGAUGUCUGAUUGAUUCUCUCUCCUCUGUGCAACCCCCCUCUGCAGCCCCCCCCCUCUUUUUCCCCUCGUCCCCCCCCCUUUUCCAUGCCCUUCUGGCAGAAAAUUAAAAGGCUAUUUGUUAAAGGGUGAAAGCCCUCAGGUGCAGCCCCCGGCUGGACAAUUUGUCUCCAUGAAAA
Non-coding RNA from Anas platyrhynchos (mallard), 894 nucleotides. Lineage: Eukaryota; Metazoa; Chordata; Aves; Anseriformes; Anatidae. The record is from RefSeq and is a predicted model, not a curated record.